AACUAUCUAUCAUCAGAAAUGAAACAUGGAGUACGAAGAGCAGAUCUGAUGCAUGAUGUCAAAUCCAGCCAUCGGUUUUCCAAAGAGCCCAUGAUGGUCGCAAUGAUGGUUUUCCGAAGAACUAUCUAUGCAUGAGGUUUUGUUCUAUUUCCUUGAUGGUCGCAAUAAUGUAAUGUUUCCUCCUGAUAAAUUGUUUUUUCCUCUGAAGUCCGCAAUUAGCUGAACAUGUAUAGGUGUAAUUCAUUUAUUUGUUACUAGCUAUUUUAUGGCUGCAAUUUUGUUUCCUGUCUGCCUUGUAGCCUCUGAAUCUCCUGACUGUUACAAUAACGUCGUCUUCUCACAGGAAACUGUUUGAAAUAAUGAAAGCAUUUGUCUGUCAGCUGAAGAUUCGGCAGUGAGACUUUCACUCGUUUGUUCCUUUCGGAGGCUACUGAAUAUAAAAUUAUCAUGUUUGUCUCUGUACGUUGCGUGGUGCAUUUGUUUUGGUCUUAUAGGCUCUGCACAAAUGCAUAUAAAUUAUAGUUAAAUAAGGGUUUAAGUGUUGUAGAAGGAUAAAGCUAUAAAACAUCAAAGCUAAGAACAAAGUAAAAAAAUGAGUAUUGUUACCCUUUGAUGGUGUUGGAGGCGCAAAUGUGCUACUUGUAAUUAUCGCAAACAACAUUUGCAAGUCAGGAUAAAGAUUCUUGAUCUCAGCUGCCAUACUCGGCAUGCUUCUUUAGGAGCCCCUCCCUCCCUCCAAGUUUUAACUUCAGAGCCUGCAGGAAAUCAUAUCGGCGUUGAAGUGAUCGUUCAUGUCAUAUACCGUAUACAUUCUAAAUUACGCACAUUCAGAGUCGCCCACUCUAUCAACAUCUUUGGCUCAAGGCAUCAGAAUCAACUCCAUCUUUGCUAGGUUUCGCUGGCGCCGCGAGCACAAAGUCAAUUAUUGAUCGCACUUCCAGGAUUCUCAACCCGACAAAGCAUGAAUUCCCUUGUUCCCAACCCUUCCCUUUCUUUCACAGCUGCGAGUUCCAAGAGAAAUCUACAAGAAGCCAACGCUCCUGGAAGGAUCUAAAUCCAGGAAAGCAGAUCUUCAUAAGAGACUGACAGGCAGGUAGAUCCGGUACCAGGAUGCUCAUGUAGACAUCGGGAUCGGAGGGGAGAGGCGAUCGUACGAAGGGCAAGAGGCGCCGGUGCCGGUGGUGUCAGCUGCGGAGCAGGGAUCGAGGGAGUAGAAGGCCGGCGAGACGAUCCCGCGUCCGCUUCGCCGUCUCCCCGAAAGCUCAUCAUCGCCCGUCACCCCCAAAUCGAUGAGGGCUUUAAUGGCCAGGUUCAUCCUCUCUCUCUCUCUCUCUCUCGGCCAAUUUAAUGCGAUUCCAUCGAAUAGUAUUCGUAACCAUCAAAACAGGAGUAGGCGGUUAAUAUCCGUUAUAUCGUCGUGCUUGACCUAAAUGAAUU
This 1437-nucleotide long non-coding RNA is filed under the name Musa acuminata (dwarf banana). RNAcentral describes it as "long non-coding RNA (MACU_LNC006019)". The record is from RNAcentral. Lineage: Eukaryota; Viridiplantae; Streptophyta; Magnoliopsida; Zingiberales; Musaceae.